Paramuricea clavata is the source of this 742-nucleotide non-coding RNA. The record is from the annotation of a GenBank genome assembly. Lineage: Eukaryota; Metazoa; Cnidaria; Anthozoa; Malacalcyonacea; Plexauridae.
UGGAUAAGUACAUAGUUACAGAACACGGAUAAGUACAUAGUUACAGAACACUGAUGAGCGAUGACUGCAUCACAGUAGUGACGACUGCAUGAUCAGUGAUAACCGAAACUCUGAAAAACAAAUUUUCAACUAAAUAAUUUUCCGGAACAGCAAGAAUAAAAAAAGGUUAUUUCAAUGAUGUUAGAGUCAUAGUGCCAUUAAUGUGCCUGUCGAGUGCAGUGGCUACUUUUUAAAAGUAUAUAAUUUUAUUUUUCACAUCAGUGCUUGUUCUCUUAGUUAUAAUAAAAAAUUCUCGCAGGAAAUUUUUAAUUAGUUUAGCAGGAAAUUUCUAUUUUUGGAUUUUGCUGCCAGGAAGAGAAAUACUUUAUCCAGGCCUGAAGGGGACUAACCUUGUAUGCAGGGCCUUAUAGAAUUAAAAAAAAUCUGGAUAGGAUGUUACAAGGUUACAAGGCCGUUGGAAGUAAAUCAAUUUGGGGAGGGGGGGCCAAGAUGAUGGCCUUGUAUAAUGUGUGACAUUGUCAUAUUUUAUGCUCAAGUAAAUAGAAAGUAUUUCAGCAAGCUAAAUCAUCAUUUUGUUUAUAGCCUGGGCAUAGCUGGAGUAAUGGUCAGAGGUUUACUCCUCAGUGGCAUAACUCCUAAGGGCUGUGCCUGGCAAGAGCCAGGGGGUGUGCCUUGUCAAUUAGGAAGGUCCCUGGGCUAAUCUUUAUGCAGUGUUUGGAAAGCUCUCCCUGUUAACACUCUG